UUUAGAGUUUGAUCCAUGGCUCAGAGCGAACGCUGGCGGCGUGCUUAACACAUGCAAGUCGAACGGGAGAUUUCCUGUAGCAAUACAGGGCGUCUUCCGUGGCGGACGGGUGCGUAACCCGUGGGCAACCUACCCGGAAAUGGGGAAUAACCCCGCGAAAGCGGGGCUAAUACCGCAUGACAUUCCGUGGACCCCGGUCCUUGGACUCAAAGCCCGCAAGGGCGUUACCGGAGGGGCCCGCGCCCGAUUAGCUAGUUGGUGAGGUAACGGCUCACCAAGGCGAUGAUCGGUAGCCGGUCUGAGAGGAUGGUCGGCCACACUGGAACUGAGAAACGGUCCAGACUCCUACGGGAGGCAGCAGUGGGGAAUCUUGCGCAAUGGGCGAAAGCCUGACGCAGCGACGCCGCGUGGGGGAUGAAGCUUCUCGGAGCGUAAACCCCUUUCGACCCGGACGAAUGUCCCGCAAGGGAUAGACGUACGGUAAAAGAGCCCCGCA
RNAcentral lists this ribosomal RNA (496 nucleotides) under uncultured bacterium. Its description in RNAcentral is "bacterial SSU rRNA". It matches the Rfam family "Bacterial small subunit ribosomal RNA", at positions 1 to 497 of the family's 1533-position model. The record is from RNAcentral.